AAACGCUUGAAGUCAGUCGCGUCUUCAGAAAUUCAGCCAGGCUUUUGCCUGGUGUACUUUUCUGUUGGACGGGCCAGCAUCAGUUUUGGCCGCCAGAAAAAGGUGGGAGGAAGGUGGCACCUCCGGGUGUGUUAUAGCCUCUCAUCGUAUGUGGCGGCUGGGACUGAGGACCGCAGCACGCCUUUAUGGCCGGGGUUCGCCCACGUAACGUGCUUAGGAUGCUGGCGUAAUGGCUUUAAGCGACCCGUCUUGAAACACGGACCAAGGAGUCUAACAUGCCUGCGAGUAUUUGGGUGGUAAACCCAUAUGCGGAAUGAAAGUGAACAGUUGGGACUUCUGUCAUGGAAGGCACCGACGCCCGGACCAGACCUAUUGUGACGGAUCCGAGGUAGAGCAUGUAUGUUGGGACCCGAAAGAUGGUGAACUAUGCCUGAGUAGGGUGAAGCCAGAGGAAACUCUGGUGGAGGCUCGUAGCGAUUCUGACGUGCAAAUCGAUCGUCGAACUUGGGUAUA
This 513-nucleotide ribosomal RNA is filed under the name Geastrum tupiense. RNAcentral describes it as "Geastrum sp. JFFN-2021a partial large subunit ribosomal RNA". It matches the Rfam family "Eukaryotic large subunit ribosomal RNA", at positions 417 to 919 of the family's 3401-position model. Lineage: Eukaryota; Fungi; Basidiomycota; Agaricomycetes; Geastrales; Geastraceae. The record is from RNAcentral.